Molecule: ribosomal RNA, 253 nt
Filed under: uncultured bacterium
Lineage: Bacteria
Description: partial 16S ribosomal RNA
Rfam family: Bacterial small subunit ribosomal RNA
Source: RNAcentral
UACGAAGGGGGCUAGCGUUGCUCGGAAUUACUGGGCGUAAAGGGAGCGUAGGCGGAUAUUUAAGUCGGGGGUGAAAGCCCAGGGCUCAACCCUGGAACUGCCUUCGAUACUGGAUAUCUAGAGUAUGAGAGAGGUGUGUGGAACUCCGAGUGUAGAGGUGAAAUUCGUAGAUAUUCGGAAGAACACCAGUGGCGAAGGCGACACACUGGCUCAUUACUGACGCUGAGGCUCGAAAGCGUGGGGAGCAAACAGG